This 84-nucleotide transfer RNA is filed under the name Nitrospiraceae bacterium. RNAcentral describes it as "tRNA-Leu". It matches the Rfam family "tRNA". Rfam says of the family: Transfer RNA (tRNA) molecules are approximately 80 nucleotides in length. Their secondary structure includes four short double-helical elements and three loops (D, anti-codon, and T loops). RNAcentral also lists the same sequence under 1 other name. Lineage: Bacteria; Pseudomonadati; Nitrospirota; Nitrospiria; Nitrospirales; Nitrospiraceae. The record is from RNAcentral.
GCCGGUGUGGUGGAACUGGCAGACGCGCCGGACUCAAAAUCCGGUAAGGGCAACCUUGUGUGGGUUCGACUCCCACCACCGGCA